Molecule: ribosomal RNA, 376 nt
Filed under: Bombus morio
Lineage: Eukaryota; Metazoa; Arthropoda; Insecta; Hymenoptera; Apidae
Description: partial 16S ribosomal RNA
Rfam family: Archaeal large subunit ribosomal RNA (bases 247-376)
Source: RNAcentral
GAGAUAUAUACUGUCUCAUAUAUAUAAAAUGAAUUUAAAUUUUUAGUAAAAAUGCUUAAAUAAUUUUAUGGGACGAUAAGACCCUAUAGAAUUUUAUAUUAAAAUUUUAUUAAUUAUUUAGUUAAAAUUUUAAUAUUUAGUUGGGAGGAUUAGUAAAUAAAAUUAACUUUAUUUUAAAAAUAAACUUUGAUUUAAGAAUAAAAUUUUGAUCUUAUAUUAUAAAUUAAAAGAAUAAAUUACCUUAGGGAUAACAGCGUAAUAUCUUUUUAAAGAUCAUAUUAAUAAAGAUGUUUGCGACCUCGAUGUUGAAUUAAGAUAAAUUUUAAAUGAAGAAAUUUAAAAAUUAAGUCUGUUCGACUUUUAAAAUCUUACAUGA